This 581-nucleotide ribosomal RNA is filed under the name uncultured bacterium. Its description in RNAcentral is "partial 16S ribosomal RNA". It matches the Rfam family "Bacterial small subunit ribosomal RNA", at positions 355 to 1375 of the family's 1533-position model. The record is from RNAcentral.
UGGGGAAUUUUGGACAAUGGGCGAAAGCCUGAUCCAGCAAUGCCGCGUGUGUGAAGAAGGCCUUCGGGUUGUAAAGCACUUUUGUCCGGAAAGAAAUCCUUGGCUCUAAUACAGUCGGGGGAUGACGGUACCGGAAGAAUAAGCACCGGCUAACUACGUGCCAGCAGCCGCGGUAAUACGUAGGGUGCAAGCGUUAAUCGGAAUUACUGGGCGUAAAGCGUGCGCAGGCGGUUUGCUAAGACCGAUGUGAAAUCCCCGGGCUCAACCUGGGAACUGCAUUGGUGACUGGCAGGCUAGAGUAUGGCAGAGGGGGGUAGAAUUCCACGUGUAGCAGUGAAAUGCGUAGAGAUGUGGAGGAAUACCGAUGGCGAAGGCAGCCCCCUGGGCCAAUACUGACGCUCAUGCACGAAAGCGUGGGGAGCAAACAGGAUUAGAUACCCUGGUAGUCCACGCCCUAAACGAUGUCAACUAGUUGUUGGGGAUUCAUUCCUUAGUAACGUAGCUAACGCGUGAAGUUGACCGCCUGGGGAGUACGGUCGCAAGAUUAAACUCAAGAAUUGACGGGGUCAUAGCUGUUUCCU